ACUCCACUCAGAGGUACCCAUAAACAGAAAGGACCCACUGGCCACUUCUCCAGGACAGCAAGGUAGUGGACAUGCACAAGGACCUUGCCCCUGUUCAGAUCCAUGAAAGAAGUGCUGUGCCUCCCUUGACUUGAUAAAGAAGGAGCCAAUUUCUUCCCAGUUUCCUCGAGAACUCACAGACUACGGAAAUUAUGUUAGACAAAAAGCAAAUUAGAGCAAUUUUCUUAUUUGGGUUCAAAAUGGGUCAUAAAGCAGCAAGAAAACUCAUAACAUCAAUAAGGCAUUUGGCCCAGGAACUGCUAAUGAAUGUACAGUACAGUGGUGGUUCAAGAAGUUUUGCAAAGGAGACAAGAGCCUUGAAGAUGAGGAGUGUAUGGCCAGCCAUCAGAAGUUGACAAUGACCAAUUGACAGCAAUCAUCAAAGCUGAUCCUCUUACAACUACAUGAGAAAUUGCCAAAGAACUCCACCUCGACCAUUCUAUGGUCAUGUGGCAUUUGAAGCAAAUUGAAAAGGUGAAAAAGGUGGGAAAAAAAGGUGAAAAAAAGGUGUCUUGAUAAGUGGGUGCUUCAUGAGCUGAGCAAAAAU
This 586-nucleotide long non-coding RNA is filed under the name Homo sapiens (human). RNAcentral describes it as "HSALNT0361283". Lineage: Eukaryota; Metazoa; Chordata; Mammalia; Primates; Hominidae. The record is from RNAcentral.